This 133-nucleotide ribosomal RNA is filed under the name uncultured bacterium. Its description in RNAcentral is "partial 16S ribosomal RNA". The record is from RNAcentral.
GGUACCGUCAAACGUAUGAUCUAUUAAAUCAUACGCACUUCUUCCCUAUUGACAGAGCUUUACGACUCGAAAGCCUUCAUCACUCACGCGGCGUCGCUGCAUCAGGGUUUCCCCCAUUGUGCAAAAUUCCUCA